This 307-nucleotide long non-coding RNA is filed under the name Olea europaea (common olive). Its description in RNAcentral is "long non-coding RNA (OEUR_LNC001960)". The record is from RNAcentral. Lineage: Eukaryota; Viridiplantae; Streptophyta; Magnoliopsida; Lamiales; Oleaceae.
CAGGGGCUAGUUCCUCCUCACGCCCGGUAAAAAAACUCACAGAUUUUCCUAGAGUCCUCGUAGGCUGAGGCCUUUUCAAAGUCUCUGCCUCCUUCUCCUUCUCGGCUGCUCUUUUCGCAGCCUCCUUUUUUGCUUCAUCUUCCCCUACCCUUUGGACAAUCUCCACCUUCAUAGCAGACUCCAUUAGUUUUAGUGAUGGAGGGUCGGCCUUACUAGAGUGGGACACAGUGGUCCCAAACUUUAUUGUGGAAGAGCCACUACUGUGAACCCAACUCCUCUUCUUUUGAGGUUCAUUGGGGAAUUUCUC